This is a long non-coding RNA of Bubalus bubalis (water buffalo), 973 nucleotides long. RefSeq lists it as uncharacterized. The transcript has 6 exons. NCBI's taxonomy places the organism in Eukaryota, Metazoa, Chordata, Mammalia, Artiodactyla, Bovidae. The record is from RefSeq and is a predicted model, not a curated record.
GAGAAAAGGAAAGAAUUUAAAAAUCAAACUAAUUGAAUUAUUUGCUUUGGGAUCAAGAUUUCUCAGUAAAUGGUCUCAGGAUUAAAAACAAACAAUACAGAACUCUACAACUCCAGAAGAGAAAAUAAAAACGCAGUAUUUCUCCUCUCCUGCCCUCUGAGAUGGGGUGCUACAGUGAUGUUUACAGGUCAGAUGGAACGUGAAUGAAGCAUAUUUUGGAUAACAACUUAGAUGGCCACUGAUCAACAGGAAGAAGAAACAAGCUGGCUAUGAAUUUGUUAAGGCACAUAGUUCAAUACGAUUAUACAACGGUGAAAAAGCUUGGCUCAGCUAAUCUUCUCAUAACACAUGGUGCUCAAGGUUUACUGUGCUUUAUAAAUCUUUCUAGAAAAAUAUUUUAAGCAGAUGCCAAGAUUGAAAACCAAAGUUCUUUUCAGGACACGUCCGGAUCAGUCGGACCUGGAGGAUGUGAACCUUCUCUCACCAGCACCUCCCAGCUGCUGGGGGGUGACCUGGCCCAGGAGAACUCUAGUUUGGAAAGUAAACAGGGGCCCUUGAACGCAGGUCUUCAAGAAGACGCCGCGAGGAACUGUCCAACAGAAAAAUAAUGGCAGCUGCGUGUGUCAUUCUGAACUUUGCAGUAGCUGCAUUAAAAGAGAAGGAUGAAACAGGUGGUGGGUAUGUGGGGAGAGUGCUGUGAGGUCUGCGAAGUCCUGGGUGUGUUUUACACUUACUGCACAUCUCAGUCUGGACUGGCCACACUUCAAGUGCUUCCACCCACGUGUGGCAGGCAGCCACGGCACUGGCAAGCACAAAGCCGACACAGCUACGAGGGCGGAAAAGUUAAUGUGCUUUCGCCAUGCCAUCCGCGAUGACUUCAAAUCAACCUGCCUAAGAGCCAUGCACAUCUCUACUCUUCCAGGUGGAGGGGUAGGGCCUAGCUGUCUCUAGUCCCGGGUAAGCUGGUUUCCAG